AUGUGAUCGUCUCUCGCAUAUCAAUAAGCGGAGGAAAAGAAACUAACAAGGAUUCCCCUAGUAACGGCGAGUGAAGCGGGAAGAGCUCAAAUUUGAAAUCUUAAAGGGUUUCCCUUUACGAAUUGUAGUUUAAAGAAGUGUUUUCUGUUGAGGUUUUGGUAAAAGUUCUUUGGAAUAGGACAUCAUAGAGGGUGAGAAUCCCGUAUUUGACCUUUACUUUCAACUUUGUGAUACACUUUCAAAGAGUCGGAUUGUUUGGGAAUGCAGUCCAAAAUGGGUGGUAAAUUUCAUCUAAAGCUAAAUAUUGGCGAGAGACCGAUAGCGAACAAGUACCGUGAGGGAAAGAUGAAAAGAACUUUGAAAAGAGAGUUAAACAGUACGUGAAAUUGUCAAAAGGGAAGCGUUUGACACCAGUGUUGUUUUUCUGAAAAUCAAUUAAAGAACUGUUUAUGCUAAGCUGUUUAGACUUUAUCAGCUAACUGUUUAGUUUUGAGCUUUUCUUUAAUGCACUUUUCAGUUAACAAGUCAACAUCAAUUUCUUUUGCUGUAAAAAAGCUUGAGAAAGGUGGCUUGAGAUUCGUCUUAAGUGUUUAUAGCCUCUUGCCUAUGCAGUCGGAGAGAUUGAGGUCUGCAGCGUAGAUCCUUCGGGGCUAAAUGCAUUUGUGCUAAGUUAUAGCAUUUUAUAGACAACUUGUUGACUAUGAUUUGUCUUGUAGCUUACUCGCUUAUGUUACUUUUACCUACGCUUAGGAUGUUGAGUCGUAGAGCACGCAG
Molecule: ribosomal RNA, 774 nt
Filed under: uncultured Neocallimastigales
Lineage: Eukaryota; Fungi; Neocallimastigomycota; Neocallimastigomycetes; Neocallimastigales
Description: partial large subunit ribosomal RNA
Rfam family: Eukaryotic large subunit ribosomal RNA
Source: RNAcentral